RNAcentral lists this ribosomal RNA (164 nucleotides) under uncultured bacterium. Its description in RNAcentral is "partial 16S rRNA". It matches the Rfam family "Bacterial small subunit ribosomal RNA", at positions 355 to 511 of the family's 1533-position model. The record is from RNAcentral.
UAGGGAAUCCUCCACAAUGGGCGCAAGCCUGAUGGAGCAACACCGCGUGAGUGAAGAAGGGUUUCGGCUCGUAAAGCUCUGUUGUUAAAGAAGAACACGUAUGAGAGUAACUGUUCAUACGUUGACGGUAUUUAACCAGAAAGUCACGGCUAACUACGUGCCAG